AUACGGAGGGUGCAAGCGUUAAUCGGAAUUACUGGGCGUAAAGCGCUCGUAGGCGGCUUGUUAAGUCGGAUGUGAAAGCCCCGGGCUCAACCUGGGAACUGCAUUCGAUACUGGCAGGCUAGAGUAUAGUAGAGGCAAGUGGAAUUCCGGGUGUAGCGGUGAAAUGCGUAGAUAUCCGGAGGAACAUCAGUGGCGAAGGCGACUUGCUGGACUAAUACUGACGCUGAGGAGCGAAAGCGUGGGGAGCAAACGGGAUUAGAAACCCCGGUAGUCC
Molecule: ribosomal RNA, 274 nt
Filed under: uncultured bacterium
Lineage: Bacteria
Description: partial 16S ribosomal RNA
Rfam family: Bacterial small subunit ribosomal RNA
Source: RNAcentral